UACCAGCACCCCGAGUGGUCGGGACGAUUAUUGGGCCUAAAGCAUCCGUAGCCGGUUCUACAAGUCUUCCGUUAAAUCCACCUGCUUAACAGAUGGGCUGCGGAGGAUACUAUAGAGCUAGGAGGCGGGAGAGGCAAGCGGUACUUAGUGGGUAGGGGUAAAAUCCGUUGAUCCAUUGAAGACCACCAGUGGCGAAGGCGGCUUGCCAGAACGCGCUCGACGGUGAGGGAUGAAAGCUGGGGGAGCAAACCGG
RNAcentral lists this ribosomal RNA (253 nucleotides) under uncultured bacterium. Its description in RNAcentral is "partial 16S ribosomal RNA". It matches the Rfam family "Archaeal small subunit ribosomal RNA", at positions 474 to 727 of the family's 1478-position model. The record is from RNAcentral.